GAUGAACGCUAGCGGCAGGCUUAACACAUGCAAGUCGAGGGGCAGCACGUCUUCGGAUGGUGGCGACCGGCGCACGGGUGCGUAACGCGUAUACAACCUAUCUUAUAGAGGGGAAUAGCCCAGAGAAAUUUGGAUUAAUGCCCCAUAGUAUUAUUGAAUAGCAUUAUUUGAUGAUUAAACAUUUAUGGCUAUAAGAUGGGUAUGCGUUCUAUUAGCUAGAUGGUAAGGUAACGGCUUACCAUGGCAACGAUAGAUAGGGGUCCUGAGAGGGAGAUCCCCCACACUGGUACUGAGACACGGACCAGACUCCUACGGGAGGCAGCAGUGAGGAAUAUUGGACAAUGGGCGAGAGCCUGAUCCAGCCAUGCCGCGUGCAGGAAGCGGCCCUAUGGGUUGUAAACUGCUUUUAUACGGGAAGAAGCACUCCUUCGUGAAGGAGCUUGACGGUACCGUAAGAAUAAGGAUCGGCUAACUCCGUGCCAGCACG
RNAcentral lists this ribosomal RNA (487 nucleotides) under uncultured bacterium. Its description in RNAcentral is "bacterial SSU rRNA". It matches the Rfam family "Bacterial small subunit ribosomal RNA", at positions 28 to 515 of the family's 1533-position model. The record is from RNAcentral.